RNAcentral lists this ribosomal RNA (428 nucleotides) under uncultured bacterium. RNAcentral's name for it is "bacterial SSU rRNA". It matches the Rfam family "Bacterial small subunit ribosomal RNA", at positions 354 to 796 of the family's 1533-position model. The record is from RNAcentral.
GUAGGGAAUAUUGGGCAAUGGGCGCAAGCCUGACCCAGCAACGCCGCGUGAGGGAAGAAGGUUUUCGGAUUGUAAACCUCUGUCCUAUGUGACGAAGGAAGUGACGGUAGCAUAGGAGGAAGCCCCGGCUAACUACGUGCCAGCAGCCGCGGUAAUACGUAGGGGGCGAGCGUUGUCCGGAAUUACUGGGCGUAAAGGGUGCGUAGGCGGUUUGGUAAGUUGGAUGUGAAAUACCCGGGCUUAACUUGGGGGCUGCAUCCAAUACUGUCGGACUUGAGUGCAGGAGAGGAAAGCGGAAUUCCUAGUGUAGCGGUGAAAUGCGUAGAUAUUAGGAGGAACACCGGUGGCGAAGGCGGCUUUCUGGACUGUAACUGACGCUGAGGCACGAAAGCGUGGGGAGCAAACAGGAUUAGAAACCCCAGUAGUCC